This 345-nucleotide unclassified non-coding RNA is filed under the name soil metagenome. RNAcentral's name for it is "partial contains 5.8S ribosomal RNA, internal transcribed spacer 2, and large subunit ribosomal RNA". The stretch from base 1 to 121 matches the Rfam family "5.8S ribosomal RNA", at positions 35 to 154 of the family's 154-position model. The record is from RNAcentral.
GAUGAAGAACGUAGCGAAAUGCGAUAAGUAAUGCGAAUUGCAGAAUUUCCGUGAGUCAUCGAAUCUUUGAACGCACAUUGCGCCCACUGGUAUUCCGGUGGGCAUGCCUGUUCGAGCAUCAUUAUCCUCCCUCAAACCCCGGGUUUGGUGUUGGACCCAAGUUGUGUGAACAACUGGUCUUAAAGACAAUGACGGCGUCCGUGGGACCCUCGGUGCAACGAGCUUUUAGGAGCACGCAUCGAGUUGCAAGGACCUUCCGGGCCGGUCUCCUUUACUAUUUUACAAGGUUGACCUCGGAUCAGGUAGGAAUACCCGCUGAACUUAAGCAUAUCAAUAAGCGGAGGA